This 207-nucleotide ribosomal RNA is filed under the name uncultured bacterium. Its description in RNAcentral is "partial 16S ribosomal RNA". It matches the Rfam family "Bacterial small subunit ribosomal RNA", at positions 1295 to 1500 of the family's 1533-position model. The record is from RNAcentral.
GGAUUGCAGUCUGCAACUCGACUGCAUGAAGCCGGAAUCGCUAGUAAUCGCGGAUCAGAAUGCCGCGGUGAAUACGUUCCCGGGUCUUGUACACACCGCCCGUCACACCAUGGGAGUCGGAAAUGCCCGAAGCCGGUGGCCUAACCGAUAAGGGAGGAGCCGUCGAAGGCAGGUCUGAUGACUGGGGUGAAGUCGUAACAAGGUAUC